Molecule: long non-coding RNA, 1223 nt
Filed under: Ananas comosus (pineapple)
Lineage: Eukaryota; Viridiplantae; Streptophyta; Magnoliopsida; Poales; Bromeliaceae
Description: long non-coding RNA (ACOM_LNC012395)
Source: RNAcentral
UGUAGUAUCGUACUUUUUUAUUUUAGUGUCAUAUAGUUUAAAAUGUAUCAAUUUAGUAUCUCGUAUUUUUAUUUUUCUCUUUUUAUUAUUCACUCCACUAUUUUUUUUCGUUAAAUUAGCAACAAAGUUAAAACUAAAAGAGACUAAAGUGAAUAUUCGAUAAAUUUAGGUGAGGUAUCUGAAUUUUUUUGUAUAUAAUUUAACGAAAUAUUAACGGAGGAGCUAACGAAAAAAAAAAGAAGUAAAAUCACAUGGUACUAAAUUGAUACGUUUUAAACUAUAGGAUAAUAAAAUAAAAAAAUAUGAAAUCACAUGAGUGGUAUUUAAAGGUUACCCUAAUAAUAAUAAGGCUAAAUUAUAGAAAACUCCCUUGUAAUAAUCUGUUUUUUCACUUUCUCCCCCUGACAUUUAAAAAUCUAUACUUUGCCUCCUUUUAAAAUAAAAAAUGUUCACAGGGGGAUUACGGUGUGUAAAAUGACUAGUUUGCCCCUCACCAUUUUCGUCUUCUUCCUCAUCUUCCUCAGCCGCACCUUCGAUUGGCCGCGAUUCCCACCUCAAUCGGCCGCGAUUUCUCUCCAUUUUCUUCUCCACCUGCUCCCCUUCUCCUCCUGCACCGUCGCCGCCCAUCGAUUUCGGCAACAGUAGGGAGGAAACCGAGGUGGGUGUUGAUGGAGAGGUAGGCAAGGGCAACGAUGGCGAAGGCGAGGCGGCGGAGGACGACGAAGGGGAUGGGGGCGAGGGUGAGGCAGUGAAGGACGGCGAGGCGGCUAGGCGGCAAGGUGGCGAGGCGGCGGUGAGGUGGCGAGCCGGAGGAAGGCGCAGCAAUAGGGANGAGAGGUAGGCAAGGGCAACGAUGGCGAAGGCGAGGCGGCGGAGGACGACGAAGGGGAUGGGGGCGAGGGUGAGGCAGUGAAGGACGGCGAGGCGGCGAGGCGGCGGUGAGGUGGCGAGCCGGAGGAAGGCGCAGCAAUAGGGAAGAGGGCGGAGGGGUAUUUUCGACAUAAAAAAAUAUUUUAUAACGGAACCCUAACGCUAGGGGGGGAAGUGCAUAUUUUUUAUUUUAUAAGGAGGCAAAGUAUAAAUUUUUAAAUGUCAAGAGAGAAAAGUAAAAAAAUAAAUUAUUACAAGAGAAUUUUCUGUAAUUUAGCCUAAUAAUAAUGAUUUAGAUUCGUUUGUUUCUCCUUGUGCUACAAUAAGCUUCAGUUAUAGAGCAUUUUGCAAUA